CCUACGGGCGGCAGCAGUGAGGAAUAUUGGUCAAUGGGCGCGAGCCUGAACCAGCCAAGUAGCGUGAAGGAUGACUGCCCUACGGGUUGUAAACUUCUUUUAUAAAGGAAUAAAGUGAGGCACGUGUGCCUUUUUGUAUGUACUUUAUGAAUAAGGAUCGGCUAACUCCGUGCCAGCAGCCGCGGUAAUACGGAGGAUCCGAGCGUUAUCCGGAUUUAUUGGGGUUAAAGGGAGCGUAGAUGGGUUGUUAAGUCAGUUGUGAAAGUUUGCGGCUCAACCGUAAAAUUGCAAUUGAUACUGGCAGCCUUGAGUACAGUUGAGGUAGGCGGAAUGUAUGGUGUAGCGGUGAAAUGCUUAGAGAUCAUACAGAACACCGAUUGCGAAGGCAGCUUACCAAACUAUAUCUGACGUUGAGGCACGAAAGCGUGGGUAUCGAACAGGAUUAGAUACCCUAGUAGUC
RNAcentral lists this ribosomal RNA (460 nucleotides) under uncultured bacterium. RNAcentral's name for it is "partial 16S ribosomal RNA". It matches the Rfam family "Bacterial small subunit ribosomal RNA", at positions 338 to 795 of the family's 1533-position model. The record is from RNAcentral.